Long non-coding RNA from Carassius auratus (goldfish), 2038 nucleotides. RefSeq lists it as uncharacterized. The record is from RefSeq and is a predicted model, not a curated record. The transcript is spliced from 4 exons. NCBI's taxonomy places the organism in Eukaryota, Metazoa, Chordata, Actinopteri, Cypriniformes, Cyprinidae.
ACUUCUAGUCCGGUGUAUUGCAAGUUGAGCUAAACUCUGCAGGACAGUGAUCUUCUACGACUGAGUUAAGACACCCCUGUUUCUGAACCUUGGAUUUGUGUGCUGUCUUUAGCACUAAGUUGAAUGUUCUUAUUCUAUUCUUAAUUAUCUCUUUUAUUAUAUUGCUGAACAUUUUGCAUCCUGAAAAUUCAGUACUUAUAAGUGGCUUUCUUUUUUUUAAGGCUAGAAACAAUAUAGAGAAGCAUUGAAUGGGCGAGAGGAAGGCUGAUCACUGCACCAGAAGCAGACGAGUUACUCCAAGAUCUCAAUGAAUAUAUAGCAGAGGUACAAAAGCAUAGGCAGCAUGGACAACAAGCCAGUUCCAGAUCUGAUCGAGGUGCACCCCAUUACAGCAUCACCAGAGAGCAACUUUCUUUUCUGAGGACAUGUGGUUUUAGUCUUCCUUCAAUAGCAGAGAUUCUGCAAGUGUCUCUGGCUACCGUCAAACGCCGCAUGGAAGAGAUUCCAUUUGAAUCGCUCUCUGACUUAAUCUGAAAUAACCGAUGUAGAUCACAGACAUUGUGGAUGGAAAUGACCAGCUGGGAUCGGAGGCUGUCAGGGCACAGUUACGGGCAGGUGGAAAUCGUGUACAAAGACACAGAGUACGCAGGAGCUUGGUUCAAAUUAACCCAAUUGCAGCAGCACUACGGGCCAUGUCACAAAGACCACACAGAAGGUUGUAUAGUGUUGCUGGUCCAAACUCCCUGUGGCACCUAGAUGGCAACCACAAAUUGAUAAGAUGGAGAAUUGUCAUUCAUGGUGUUAUAGAUGGCUACAGUCAUCUCAUAGUCUUUCUCCAUGCCUCAAACAACAACCACAGCAGCACUGUAAUGCCUUCUAUGGUCAGAACAGACCAUGGAGGAGAAAACCAUGAUGUCUGUGUGAUGUUGAACAUUUUCAGGGGCUCAGAGAGAGGCAGCGCAAUAAGAGGCAGGAGCGUUCACAACUAAAGAAUUGAGAGGCUCUGGGGUGACAUGUGGCGGGGAUUGACUAAUGUAUAUUACAAUCUCUUUCACUUCCUGGAGGCUGAAGGUAUCUCUGACAUAGACAAAGAAAUGCACAUAUGGGCUCUUCACUUUGUCUAUGUGCCGAGGAUCAACAGGUGUUUAUCAGCCUUUACUCAACAGUGGAACAACCAUGGGCUGAGAACAGAACAACACCAGACACCCAUGCAGAUAUUUGUUCGAGGCUGCCUGGAACAACAAGGACAGCGAACCACUGCAAUGGAAGAGAUCUUUGGCAGAACAGCUGGACCAGCAGAUGAACCUGUUCUUCAGGCACCGGCAGCAGAAUCAAGCUUGCAGGAGGCACCAGUGUUUGACUGGCCAGAGGGAGUAGCUGUUCCUCAAAGUGACUUCACAUUGGAGAGUGCUGCCUUAGAGCAACUUGUUGCACAAAUUAAUCCACUUGGUGGUUCAAGGGGACAACUCAGAGUGGAUGUCCUUCAAAACAUUUUAUCUCUUUUGAUGUCUCUGAAUCCCCAACAUUAAAAAAAAAAAUGGUUAUUUCUGUAAUCACAGAUUAUGGUCACCACUGACUAAUUAUAUGGACACUGAAUUUUUGGUGAGCCAACCACUGAAGUUUGUCGUGGGUGUGGAUAGAUCCACUUGAAGUUAUAUUUUGAGUAGCGGUUACAAUAUUUAAGUAUGGUUAAAGGGUUAGCUCACCCAAAAAUUAAAUUUGUCAUUAAUUACUCACCCUCAUGUUGCCCCAAACCUGUAAGACCUUUGUUUGUCCUCAGAACACAAAUUAAGACAUUUCUGGUAAAAUCCAAGGAUGAUCCACAUAAGCAGCAACGGUACUGCAUCUUUUGAGGUCCAGAAGGGUAUUAAAAGCCAUUGAUAGUGUUUCAACAUUAAUAUUAUAAAGUGACGUGAAUAGUUUUGGUGCGCAAAAACAAAACAACUUUUUCAACUAUCUAGUGAAGGACGAUCUCUGAACAAUAUUUCACGAAGCUUCAAUCCUUUAUGAAUCUUGUUUAGAAUUAAUAUCAUAUUUC